AAAAAAUUAGUUAAAUUUUAUAACAUUAGUGUGUCAAACUAAAAUUAUUAAAUUAUUUAAUAUUUUUUA
RNAcentral lists this transfer RNA (69 nucleotides) under Rhagoletis batava. RNAcentral describes it as "tRNA-Asp". The record is from RNAcentral. Lineage: Eukaryota; Metazoa; Arthropoda; Insecta; Diptera; Tephritidae.